RNAcentral lists this ribosomal RNA (470 nucleotides) under Notothenia rossii (marbled rockcod). Its description in RNAcentral is "partial 16S ribosomal RNA". It matches the Rfam family "Bacterial large subunit ribosomal RNA", at positions 1939 to 2561 of the family's 2925-position model. Lineage: Eukaryota; Metazoa; Chordata; Actinopteri; Perciformes; Nototheniidae. The record is from RNAcentral.
AUUUUGACCGCGCGAAGGUAGCGCAAUCACUUGUCUCUUAAAUGGAGACUUGUAUGAAUGGCACGACGAGGGCUUAGCUGUCUCCUCCCCUAAGUUAAUGAAAUUGAUCUUUCCGUGCAGAAGCGGGAAUAAACACAUAAGACGAGAAGACCCUAUGAAGCUUAAGACGUAAGGUAGACCAGACUACAAAGACCCCCUAAUAAGGGAGCAAACCAAAAGGACCCCUACCCCGAUGUCUUUGGUUGGGGCGACCGCGGGGAAAGAAAAAACCCCCACGUGGAACGGAGUACAACUCCUUAAACUCAGAGCCACAGCUCUAAGAAACAAAAUUUUUGACCUAAGGAUCCGGCAAUGCCGAUCAACGGACCGAGUUACUCUAGGGAUAACAGCGCAAUCCCCUUUUAGAGACCAUAUCAACAAGGGGGUUUACGACCUCGAUGUUGGAUCAGGACAUCCUAUUGGUGCAGCAG